Molecule: signal recognition particle RNA, 101 nt
Filed under: Ignavibacteriota bacterium
Lineage: Bacteria; Pseudomonadati; Ignavibacteriota
Description: Ignavibacteriae bacterium (groundwater metagenome) signal recognition particle sRNA small type
Rfam family: Bacterial small signal recognition particle RNA
About the family: The signal recognition particle (SRP) is a universally conserved ribonucleoprotein involved in the co-translational targeting of proteins to membranes. Archaeal SRP consists of a 7S RNA and homologues of the eukaryotic SRP19 and SRP54 proteins.
Source: RNAcentral
GGUCAAGUCCUGUGCAACGAGAAGCUUUCGAACCCCGCCAGGUCCGGAAGGAAGCAACGGUAGGAAGUCCCUCUCGUGUGACCCAGGUAAGCUUGACCUCU